UGCCCAGUAACUCCUAUUUCUACCUUCUCGCAGUACUGGCCGGGGUACGAACAACCUUAGGGAAGAUUGGGUAACCAACACCAGGAGGAAUUUGGUCGUAUGCUGACAGGGAAGG
Non-coding RNA from Aedes aegypti (yellow fever mosquito), 115 nucleotides. Lineage: Eukaryota; Metazoa; Arthropoda; Insecta; Diptera; Culicidae. The record is from Rfam.